AAGGACAGAAAUCCUAAAUUC
Molecule: small nuclear RNA, 21 nt
Filed under: Arabidopsis thaliana (thale cress)
Lineage: Eukaryota; Viridiplantae; Streptophyta; Magnoliopsida; Brassicales; Brassicaceae
Description: snRNA_09107
Source: RNAcentral